GAUGAACGCUAGCGGCAGGCCUAAUACAUGCAAGUCGGACGGGAUUGAGGGGCUUGCCCUUCAUGAGAGUGGCGCACGGGUGCGUAACACGUAUGUAACCUACCUUAGUCAGGGGGAUAGCCUCUCGAAAGAGAGAUUAAGACCGCAUAACAUAUUGAAGUGGCAUCGCUUUAAAUAUCAAAUAUUUAUAGGACUAAGAU
This 200-nucleotide ribosomal RNA is filed under the name uncultured bacterium. RNAcentral's name for it is "partial 16S ribosomal RNA". It matches the Rfam family "Bacterial small subunit ribosomal RNA", at positions 28 to 226 of the family's 1533-position model. The record is from RNAcentral.